Molecule: ribosomal RNA, 315 nt
Filed under: uncultured bacterium
Lineage: Bacteria
Description: bacterial SSU rRNA
Rfam family: Bacterial small subunit ribosomal RNA
Source: RNAcentral
ACUCCUACGGGAGGCAGCAGUAGGAAUAUUGGUCAAUGGACGGAAGUCUGAACCAGCCAUGCCGCGUGCAGGAAGACGGCCUUCUGGGUUGUAAACUGCUUUUAUCAGGGAAGAAUAAGCUUCUUGCGAGAGGUGAUGCCGGUACCUGAGGAAUAAGCACCGGCUAACUCCGUGCCAGCAGCCGCGGUAAUACGGAGGGUGCGAGCGUUAUCCGGAUUUAUUGGGUUUAAAGGGUCCGUAGGCGGGUUAAUAAGUCAGUGGUGAAAUCCCAUCGCUUAACGAUGGAACUGCCAUUGAUACUGUUAGUCUUGAAUG